UGCUGCCUACGGGGCGCAGCAGUGGGGAAUAUUGGACAAUGGGGGGAACCCUGAUCCAGCGACGCCGCGUGAGUGAAGAAGUAUUUCGGUAUGUAAAGCUCUAUCAGCAGGGAAGAAAGAAAUGACGGUACCUGACUAAGAAGCCCCGGCUAACUACGUGCCAGCAGCCGCGGUAAUACGUAGGGGGCAAGCGUUAUCCGGAUUUACUGGGUGUAAAGGGAGCGUAGACGGCGAUGUAAGUCUGAAGUGAAAGGCGGGGGCCCAACCUCCGGACUGCUUUGGAAACUGUAUGGCUGGAGGGCAGG
RNAcentral lists this ribosomal RNA (305 nucleotides) under uncultured bacterium. RNAcentral's name for it is "bacterial SSU rRNA". It matches the Rfam family "Bacterial small subunit ribosomal RNA", at positions 333 to 652 of the family's 1533-position model. The record is from RNAcentral.